Non-coding RNA from Triticum aestivum (bread wheat), 124 nucleotides. NCBI's taxonomy places the organism in Eukaryota, Viridiplantae, Streptophyta, Magnoliopsida, Poales, Poaceae. The record is from Rfam.
AAUAUACUCGUCCGUCCAAAAUUACUUGUCAUCAAAAUGAAUAAAAAUGGAUGUAUCUAAAACUAAAAUACAUCUAGAUACAUCCAUUUGAAUGACAAGUAUUUCCGGACGGAGGGAGUAUAUG